This 77-nucleotide transfer RNA is filed under the name bacterium. RNAcentral describes it as "tRNA-Ala". It matches the Rfam family "tRNA". From Rfam's summary of the family: Transfer RNA (tRNA) molecules are approximately 80 nucleotides in length. Their secondary structure includes four short double-helical elements and three loops (D, anti-codon, and T loops). The record is from RNAcentral.
GGGCCCGUAGCUCAGUUGGUUAGAGCGCCUGCAUGGCAUGCAGGAGGUCGCCGGUUCGAUUCCAGUCGGGUCCACCA